UGGGGAAUUUUGGACAAUGGGCGCAAGCCUGAUCCAGCCAUGCCGCGUGCGGGAAGAAGGCCUUCGGGUUGUAAACCGCUUUUGUCAGGGAAGAAAUCUUCUGAGUUAAUACCUCGGGAGGAUGACGGUACCUGAGGAAUAAGCACCGGCUAACUACGUGCCAGCAGCCGCGGUAAUACGUAGGGUGCAAGCGUUAAUCGGAAUACUGGGCGUAAAGCGUGCGCAGGCGGUUUUGUAAGACAGAGGUGAAAUCCCCGGGCUCAACCUGGGAACUGCCUUUGUGACUGCAAGGCUUGAGUGCGGCAGAGGGGGGAUGGAAUUCCGCGUGUAGCAGUGAAAUGCGUAGAUAUGCGGAGGAACACCGAUGGCGAAGGCAAUCCCCUGGGCCUGCACUGACGCUCAUGCACGAAAGCGUGGGGAGCAAACAGGAUUAGAUACCCUGGUAGUCCACGCCCUAAACGAUGUCAACUGGUUGUUGGGAAGGUUCCUUCUCAGUAACGUAGCUAACGCGUGAAGUUGACCGCCUGGGGAGUACGGCCGCAAGGUUGAAAC
This 552-nucleotide ribosomal RNA is filed under the name uncultured bacterium. Its description in RNAcentral is "partial 16S ribosomal RNA". It matches the Rfam family "Bacterial small subunit ribosomal RNA", at positions 355 to 900 of the family's 1533-position model. The record is from RNAcentral.